AUUCUAGAGACGGAGUGUGUAAAACCUGUGACGCAGUUGAUGAUAAUAUUAAGGGAAUGUAUCAGUUGAUGGCUAAAUGGGAAGAAUUGAAUAAAUCUAUGGGACCUGCAUACAAGUUGCAUGGUCAGAUUAAAGAUAUAAAGAAGCUUCUGGAUAUCUACGAAGCUGCACUCAGCAGCUCCUGAUCCAGCUGUGAAUACCUGUAAAGGGAAGCAGCUCCUGAUCUAGCUGUGAAUACCUGUAAAGGGAAGCAGCUCCUGUUCUAGCUGUGAAUACCAGUAAAGAGAAGCAGUUUCGAUGUUGAAACCUCUAGUGCAAAUUUUUUUAUUUAAGAACGAAGUUAAAUAAUCUAAAAAAAUUGUUCUUCAGAAUUAUGCAUAUUGCAUAACGAUAUUUGCAAAGAAACUGCACUCGCCUCAAAAUCCAGAAUUUUCUAAUUCUUAUAUCUUUGCAACCUGAUGAUUCAACGUUUAAUACAUCUAUGUUUAAGGUUUGAGGCAAAUAAUUAGUUAAUCAUUUUUAUAAACCUUUGCGAUCUUAUAUUAACUAUUUCUAGGUCUUGUAAUUCAUUUCUAUACUCCAUUCUAGGAUUUCUAGUCCAUCUUAUAAAUUUUAUCAAAUAUAUAGACAAUUGAAAAAUGAAGUACAUAUUUGAAACAUAUUCAGAGUGUACUUAGUCACUGUAUUGUUUUGUACUUCAAAGUACAUAUUUGAAACAUAUUCAGAGUGUACUUACUCACUGUAUUGGUUUGUACUUUAAAGUACAUAUUUAAAAAUAUUCAGAGUGUACUUAGUCACUGUAUUGUUUUGUACUUCAAAGUACAUAUUGAAACAUAUUCAGAGUGUACUGAGUCACUGUAUUGUUUUAUACUUAAAGUACAUAUUUGAAACAUAUUUCAGA
RNAcentral lists this long non-coding RNA (901 nucleotides) under Eurytemora carolleeae. RNAcentral describes it as "uncharacterized LOC111705393". Lineage: Eukaryota; Metazoa; Arthropoda; Copepoda; Calanoida; Temoridae. The record is from RNAcentral.